AAUACAGUAAUAAUUGGUUCACCAAAAUCACCGAUAAGGAGAACAUAAAAAAGGAACGAUUUUGGUAUAAACCAAAGAUAGUGAAGAAUGAAAAUAUAUACACAUAAAACCUAUCUAGAAAGUUGACAAAUAGUGGAAAUUAUUUUCUACUAGAGCAUUGCAAUAGCAUAUUAUGUAUCAACUGAGAGCAAAUUCUAAGCUCUAUAAUAUCCUGUUCGCAGACAAAACAAUAUUUCCCAUUUCUCUGGGAAAAAAAUCCUCUAGAAAAAUUAAAAGCCGAUAUCAGACUCUUUUUAUGAAAUUAUAUUUCAAUAAAGACUCUUUAUUGAUCCAUCAAAUAAAAUUUACAUAAAGUACAUGUAUAUAUUUUUAAUGGUGAAAGAUGUCUCAAUGGCGGUGAAAUUUUCUUACUGAUAGUGAAAGAUAUCUCAUUAAAAUCAUUUCACAAGUAGUUAGAUAUGUCUUAUCUACUAUGAAAGAUAUCUCAGUGAUGGCGAAGGAUACAUUAGUCAAGGAUAUCUCAGUGAUGGUGAAAGAUAUCUCAGUGAUGGUGAAGGAUAUCUCAGUGAUGGAUAUCUCAGUGGUGAAGGAUAUCUCAGUGAUGUAUCUCAGUGAUGGUGAAGGAUAUCUCAGUGAUAGUGAAGGAUAUUUCAGUGAUGAUGGAUAUCUCAGAUGGUGAAGGAUAUCUCAGUGAUGGUGAAGGAUAUUUCAGUGAUUGUGAAGGAUAUCUCACUUACCAUUGAGAACAUUUCACUGACCAUGAAUCAAAUCUCAAUGACCAUGAAAGAUAUCUCACAAAUGGUUUAGGAAUUUUGAUUGACUGCAUGAAUAUCUAAAUGGUGAAAUAUACCUAUUAAAAGUGAAAGACAUCUUUUAAAAGAUGGUAAAAGAUAUCUCAUUUAUGAAGAAGUAUAUCUCUCUGAUGGUGAAAGAUAGCUCACUGAGAAAGGACAUUUCACUUACAAUGAAAGAUAUCACACUUAGUAUGACUGAUGGUAAAGAUAUCUCAUUACCAAUGAAUAAUAUCCCUGAUGACUGAUAAAUGUUUCAGUGUCCAUGAAACAUGUUGUAUUUACUUUAUUUUAUGCUAGUACAAUGUAGUUAGAAAUAUUUUACUACCGAUAAAGAAUAUCUCAUUAACAAUGAAUAUCUCACUGUUUGUGAUUGAUACAUGUAGCUUACUGACCAUGAAGGAUAUUUUACUGAUGGUACAAAAAUAUCUCACUAACGGUAAAAGAUAUCUCACUGACGAUGAAGAAUAUCCUACUGAUAGAGAAAUAUCUCUUUAAUCUCACUGUAGGAAAAGAAACCUCAGAGACUGAGAUGGAUAUGCCACUGGUGGUGAUAAAUAACUUAUCGAUGAUGAUGAUUUCCUAUUGAUGAUGUUAGAUACUACCGAUCAUAAAGAAUAUAUAGCUCAUCUUGAAAGAUAUCUCACAUAUGAAAUAUAUUUCACUGAAUGCUAAGGAUAUCUCAUUGACGAUGAACAAAAUCUUACUGAUUGUGAAGGAUAUCUUAAAGAUCAUUAGAUAUAUGUAGUGGUAGAUGAAGAAUAUUACACAGAUGGUGAAAAGUUUUUAAUAUUGACUUAAUAAUGGUGAAAAAAUACUGUAAGGAAUCAAAAUGGACGAUGAAAGUCCUGAAGUGGACAAUGAGAGGUUUCAGUAUUUAUCUUAUCAGAGAACUAGAAUUCAACUCAAUGUCAAUUAACACCCACACUGGCCACUAAAGAAUUCUACACUCAAAAGUACUCUUCAUUGUUUAUUCGUUUGAUAUCAUUGAUAAUUAGUACAAUAGACGUGUAUAUCACACUACAGACAGUAUAGAAAUGAUGACCAAGCCAUUCAUACAUACAAGUCACUACUGACUGUAAAAUCAUUCCUCUUGCACUUCGAUUCUGUAACAAUCCACUGAUAUUCUCUCUUUCUCUCUCUCUCUCUGCACAACAUUCUGUCAAUGUAACAAUCUUAAUAACAAUAUUUCAGAUAUAUUAAACAUUUACAUUAAAAAGCUCACAGGACUACGUAUACAUGUAUCAUACACAACUCCACACAGAUAUCAAGGUGUUCAGACCUUGCUCCGCCUGAUAAUUCAACGCUUGAUUCCAAUUCAUCAGGAUUUGUUCACAUUAUUUGACAUCAUAUCAAGUGGAAUGAACCUGC
Molecule: long non-coding RNA, 2162 nt
Organism: Magallana angulata
Lineage: Eukaryota; Metazoa; Mollusca; Bivalvia; Ostreida; Ostreidae
Exons: 2
Source: RefSeq, a predicted model, not a curated record